Molecule: unclassified non-coding RNA, 331 nt
Filed under: soil metagenome
Description: partial contains 5.8S ribosomal RNA, internal transcribed spacer 2, and large subunit ribosomal RNA
Rfam family: 5.8S ribosomal RNA (bases 1-119)
Source: RNAcentral
GAUGAAGAACGUAGCGAAAUGCGAUAAGUAGUGUGAAUUCAGAAUUCAGUGAAUCAUCGAAUCUUUGAACGCACAUUGCGCCCUUUGGUAUUCCUUAGGGCAUGCCUGUUCGAGCGUCAUUUAAACCUUCAAGCUAAGCUUGGUGUUGGGUGACUGUCCGCUUCACGGCGGACUCGCCUCAAAAUUAUUGGCGGCCGGUACAUUGGCUUCGAGCGCAGCAGAAACGCGAACUCGGGCCCGUCGUAUUGGCUCCCAGAAGCUAUCUUCACAAUUUUGACCUCGGAUCAGGUAGGGAUACCCGCUGAACUUAAGCAUAUCAAUAAGCGGAGGA